RNAcentral lists this long non-coding RNA (243 nucleotides) under Elaeis guineensis (African oil palm). RNAcentral describes it as "long non-coding RNA (EGUI_LNC054621)". Lineage: Eukaryota; Viridiplantae; Streptophyta; Magnoliopsida; Arecales; Arecaceae. The record is from RNAcentral.
AUACUCAUACUGGCUUUGCAACUCAUUUAACAUAGAUGCCAGUGUAUAGCACUUGAUCCGAUUGUCUUCAUCCAUCCACUUUUUAAAAGCUACUCUUUGCUCGGCAGUAGGACGGUUUGGUAAUACUAUGAAUUUUUGAUCGAGAAUAUGACCUAAUUUUUCUGAGAUCAGAACUAUCCUGAGAUUUCUGAGUUAGUCUUUAUAAUUAGUUUCAGUCAAAUGAUUGGUUUCAAAGAUGCGGGC